UUAGGAAUAUUGGACAAUGGGCGCAAGCCUGAUCCAGCCAUGCCGCGUGAGUGAUGAAGGCCUUCGGGUUGUAAAGCUCUUUAGUCCACGAAUAUAAUGACUGUAGUGGAAGAAUAAGCCCCGGCUAACUUCGUGCCAGCAGCCGCGGUAAUACGAGGGGGGCGAGCGUUGUUCGGAAUCACUGGGCGUAAAGAGUGCGUAGGCGGUUAUGAAAGUUAGAAGUGAAAGCCCUGGGCUCAACCUAGGAAUUGCUUUUAAUACUCCAUGACUCGAAUUCGGGAGAGGAUAGCGGAAUUCUCAGUGUAGCAGUGAAAUGCGUAGAUAUUGAGAGGAACACCGGUGGCGUAAGCGGCUAUCUGGACCGACAUUGACGCUGAGGCACGAAAGCGUGGGGAUCAAACAG
RNAcentral lists this ribosomal RNA (403 nucleotides) under uncultured bacterium. RNAcentral's name for it is "bacterial SSU rRNA". It matches the Rfam family "Bacterial small subunit ribosomal RNA", at positions 355 to 775 of the family's 1533-position model. The record is from RNAcentral.